This is a long non-coding RNA of Pogoniulus pusillus (Red-fronted tinkerbird), 525 nucleotides long. RefSeq lists it as uncharacterized. The record is from RefSeq and is a predicted model, not a curated record. NCBI's taxonomy places the organism in Eukaryota, Metazoa, Chordata, Aves, Piciformes, Lybiidae. The transcript has 4 exons.
UCUUCUCUUUCUUCCUCUGCUUUUUGAGGUAGUAGUUAGAGGCUUGUGUAGCAACAAGCUUCACAGACUAAAGCUGGAUCCUCCUCGAGUUGCUUAAAGCAGACUGGAAACCUAGAUUUGCAAGUAGUGAAGGAAGAUCUCCUCAAGCAGAUGUGAAUUCUGGGAUUUUACCACGGAAGAGAAGGUUCUGAGUGAUGGGGCAUGAUUUGCCCUGGUUGCUGCUGUUCUGAGAGAUCAGGUUCAGGAUUACACUAUUUGGAGGAGAUGGCUUCUGAACACUUUCUCAUACAAGAAAGGAAGAAGUCAAGGCCUGCUGCAAGAAAGAGAUUUAAUAAGUGUUCAUGAAGAAAUGCUGUUUCAUUCCCUGUGGGGGAAAAACAUAACCAAGGAGUUUACCUUCCUAAAUAAAGAAAACAAGGUUAAAAGCCAUCAGAAUAGCGUAAGGAGGACUCCUGAUCUGAGAACGAUGCCUGUAAAUGUUUGUGAUAUUUUUAUCCUGCUUUAUUUCUACAGACACACAAAUCU